GAUGAACGCUGGCGGCGUGCUUAACACAUGCAAGUCGAACGAAGCACUUAUCUUUGAUUCUUCGGAUGAAGAGGUUUGUGACUGAGUGGCGGACGGGUGAGUAACGCGUGGGUAACCUGCCUCAUACAGGGGGAUAACAGUUAGAAAUGACUGCUAAUACCGCAUAAGACCACAGAGCCGCAUGGCUCAGUGGGAAAAACUCCGGUGGUAUGAGAUGGACCCGCGUCUGAUUAGGUAGUUGGUGGGGUAACGGCCUACCAAGCCAACGAUCAGUAGCCGACCUGAGAGGGUGACCGGCCACAUUGGGACUGAGACACGGCCCAAACUCCUACGGGAGGCAGCAGUGGGGAAUAUUGCACAAUGGGGGAAACCCUGAUGCAGCGACGCCGCGUGAGCGAAGAAGUAUUUCGGUAUGUAAAGCUCUAUCAGCAGGGAAGAAAAUGACGGU
This 448-nucleotide ribosomal RNA is filed under the name uncultured bacterium. Its description in RNAcentral is "bacterial SSU rRNA". It matches the Rfam family "Bacterial small subunit ribosomal RNA", at positions 28 to 458 of the family's 1533-position model. The record is from RNAcentral.